GGAUGUGAGGGUGAUCUGGCUGCAACAUCCGUCACUUCAUGGAUCACCAGUGUUGAUGCAGCUGAUCUGGCUGGCUAGGCAGGUGUCCUUUUCCUCCCUCAUCAGUCUAUGUGCAUCCUUCCUGAAUCUGCAUGUGGUGGAAGAGGACACCAUCUCAGAGACAAGUGUACCGUUCUUGUACAGUCAAGUGUUUAAUUGUUGUUAUUACUGAUCGUAAGACAAUAAUAAGAUUCUUUCACAACUGGAAACAAGGGACAUUUAGAUAGAUGCUUUUCC
This 276-nucleotide small nuclear RNA is filed under the name Pogona vitticeps (central bearded dragon). Its description in RNAcentral is "7SK RNA (ENSPVIG00000008537.1)". It matches the Rfam family "7SK RNA". Rfam says of the family: 7SK was discovered as an abundant small nuclear RNA in the mid-70s but a possible function has only recently been suggested. Two independent studies have found that 7SK RNA binds the CDK9/cyclin T complex (known as elongation factor P-TEFb). Lineage: Eukaryota; Metazoa; Chordata; Lepidosauria; Squamata; Agamidae. The record is from Rfam by way of RNAcentral.